RNAcentral lists this ribosomal RNA (484 nucleotides) under uncultured bacterium. RNAcentral's name for it is "partial 16S ribosomal RNA". It matches the Rfam family "Bacterial small subunit ribosomal RNA", at positions 30 to 507 of the family's 1533-position model. The record is from RNAcentral.
AUUGAACGCUGGCGGCAGGCCUAACACAUGCAAGUCGAGCGGAUGAAGGGAGCUUGCUCCUGGAUUCAGCGGCGGACGGGUGAGUAAUGCCUAGGAAUCUGCCUGGUAGUGGGGGAUAACGUCCGGAAACGGGCGCUAAUACCGCAUACGUCCUGAGGGAGAAAGUGGGGGAUCUUCGGACCUCACGCUAUCAGAUGAGCCUAGGUCGGAUUAGCUAGUUGGUGGGGUAAAGGCCUACCAAGGCGACGAUCCGUAACUGGUCUGAGAGGAUGAUCAGUCACGCUGGAACUGAGACACGGUCCAGACUCCUACGGGAGGCUGCAGUGGGGAAUAUUGGACAAUGGGCGAAAGCCUGAUCCAGCCAUGCCGCGUGUGUGAAGAAGGUCUUCGGAUUGUAAAGCACUUUAAGUUGGGAGGAAGGGCAGUAAGUUAAUACCUUGCUGUUUUGACGUUACCAACAGAAUAAGCACCGGCUAACUUCGUG